Molecule: non-coding RNA, 76 nt
Organism: Papio anubis (olive baboon)
Lineage: Eukaryota; Metazoa; Chordata; Mammalia; Primates; Cercopithecidae
Source: Rfam
GCUGAAAUAGCUCAAUUGGGAGAGCGUUAGACUGACCAGACCUUAAAGGUCCGUGGUUCAACCCCGGGUUUCAGCC